GGAGGGGGGGGGGGAGGGGCUGGAGGGGAAGGGGAGGGACAAGGUGGGGGGGCAGGUCCCUGGGGCAGGGAGUGGGUGGUCCUGGAGGCUGGACCGGGUCCUCGAGGGGCACAGUCUGGAAGGCGCGUCAUGCCUGGGUUCCUGCGGGGACAGAGUCCUGGUGUCAGAGGGCGAGGCUGGGGAUGGAUGUUUGUGUUUUGAAAAACUCAGAUUUGGCACUGGGGAUUCGGAGGAGCAGGCUGGGGCUUCAAGGGCUUGGGGUCAAGUUGCUGGUAGAGUUGGGACCUGACAGUGCCUCUGGGCCACUGGCAGGGAAGCUGGGAAGUGGGACUUCCAGUUUCCCAAAGGCUUUGUAUAGCAAUACUCCAAGUCCCUCCAGACUUGGAGCUGAAAGGAAGAGGAAACUGAAGCUUGAGACCUGGACUCCUGGGAAAGAAAAACCAGGGAUCCAAACUCGUGGUUCUGCCACACUAUGGGGACUCAGGGUCUUGGGUUCUGGGAGGAAGAAGAAGACAGAGCCAGAAGUCUAGGGUCCCUUGGGCCAGCAAAGGGGCAGAUCAGAGGGGAGCCAACCUGAGACGGGAAGGAACGAGAGGUGAAUGGGGGUCUGGCUGGGGGGCCCCGGCAGAGGGCUCUGCAAGGACAGCAUGCUGGCAGCUGCCAGUCCCACACAGGGGGUGCCGCAGCCCUGAAGACCCCCCCUCUCCCCUGCACAGUCACCCAGAGCCGGAGCCAGGGCCAGAGCCAGCAGGAAAGUGGGUCCUCUGUAAUUACGACUUCCAGGCCCGCAACAGCAGCGAACUCGUCCAUCAAGCAGCGAGCAGUGCUGGAGGUCCUGGAUGACAGGCGCAAGUGGUGGAAGGUUCGACCAACAGGGCCGGGAGGGUUAUGCAGCACCUAUAAUAUCCUGACACCCCAUCCCGGACCCCGAGCGGACCACAGCCAGAGGCCCUGCGCCGAAGCCCGGUGAGCCAGGCAGACUGGGAUCCUGAGGGAGAGGUGGGGGCCAGAUCCUGGAUUCUGAGAAUGAAGGGCAUGGGGACCCAGUGUCAAGAGUUCUGACUGGGGGCCCAGAAGUUCAGAGGGAGGGCCAGGGGAUUUGGCUCAGUGGGACCGAGUCUGCCUUGCAAGCACAAGGUCCUGAGUUCAAUCCCUGGUACCAAAAACAAAAGUUCAGAGGGAGCAGCGGGACUCAGAAGUCCUCCCUGACCUAGGGGAGCCUCUUUCGCCCCCAGGAGAACAGCACGCCUCCUCCUACCCCCCAGCUCCAGCCUGGGCCCCAGCUCCCGCCCAGCCCCACUGGGACAGCUGCGACAGCCUCAGCAACUUGGAGCCUAGCGAGAAGGAGAAAUUCUCCCAGAUGCUGAGUGUGAACGAGGAGCUGCAGGCGCGCCUGGCCCAGGGCCGCUCGGUUCCCAGCCGCGUAGCCCCGGGACCCCGCGCACCGGAGCCGCAGCUCAGCCGGAGCUCCGACGCCGCGGAGGUCCGCGCCUGGCUACAGGCCAAGGGGUUUAGCGUUGGGUGAGUGGGAUCGCAGGCGCAUGCGCGGAGAGGCCAGGCGCUGGGAGCGGAGGUUCCGAAUGGCUCGGAGUGGGGCGUGGAGCCCACGGGGAGCAGUGAUUGGCCCAAAUUUAUAGUCUGGGUGUACCGCUAGUAGAUUUCCCAGAUUCCGAUUGGCGCCCCCAGGAAAAUCCCGCCCCAUCUCGGAAGAGGGGCGCUUUCGCCCCAGGACCGCGGGCUGUGAUUGAGAGGUGGGGACGCUGCUCUGAUUGGACAAGCGGCUAAGCAGUCCUGACGUGUUUGGCGAGGCUGGAGGGGGCUUGAGCUAUGAUUGGGCCACAGGCCUGACCGCCCGCCCCGGCCCGGUGCAGGACUGUGUGGGACGCGCUGGGCGUGCUGACAGGUGCGCAGCUCUUCUCGCUGCGGAAGGAGGAGCUGCGGGCGGUGAGCCCGGAGGAAGGCGCGCGCGGCACAGCCAGCUCACGGUGCAGCGUGCGCUGCUAGAGGACAAAGAGAAAGUGUCCGAGCUGGAGGCGGUGAUGGAGAAGCAGAAGAAGAAGGUGGAAGGCGAGAUGAAAGCGGAGGUCAUCUGACCCUCGCCGGCCCCUUCGCCGACGUGACCGUGACGGGGCGCCUGCCCCGCGGGACCGCGUGGACUCCAGUCCCGGAGGACCGCCGAGCUGGCCCGGGCCCGCGCAGACGCACGGCCCCGCUGGAGUCCUGCCUCCCUGCCUGCCGAGCGCUCAAGGGGCCCUCCCUGGGAGCGGGCACCCCGCAACCCUGUGCCUCGUGACGUAUACCCUAGCCUAUAAACAGCCUCCUUUCAGUUACCGAGUCUACGCUGUCCUCUCUCUGCUUGGCUACCAGGGAGCCAGGGAAGCUGCCUCUGGCCCCCUUCUGAGAUUUCCCUCCCAGGGCCCUCCCCUGCAUCCCGGGGAUCCCGCUCUGUCUUCCAGCUCGCCCGUCUUCUGAACACCUGUCCCUCGCUCAGAAUUCCUCUGUGGCUCCCCCAGUGCCCUCGAGUAUAUAUUUCCCUCCUCCCUCUCGGGCAUCAUCUUUCACCACCCCACCUCAUUCCCCACGCACGCUGAUCCUGCCCUUCUCUCUCCCAGGCCCCUUCAAGCACAGGCGUCUUUCAUUUGAUUUUCUGCUGGUCACAACAGCCUUUCUCUGGCGAACUCAUUCAUCCUUCUUGGCCCAGCUCGAAUGCCCACUCUAGGGAAGCCUGCCCUGCACCCCCUGGCUAGUCUCCCAGUAUCCGUGUCUCUGCCAGGGGUCCAGCCUUGGGGAGUUGGCUGCCUCCGGAGCGUGCCAUGCUGUCCUUGGGAGCCUGC
Molecule: long non-coding RNA, 2834 nt
Filed under: Heterocephalus glaber (naked mole-rat)
Lineage: Eukaryota; Metazoa; Chordata; Mammalia; Rodentia; Bathyergidae
Description: lncRNA (ENSHGLG00000035339.1)
Source: RNAcentral